RNAcentral lists this ribosomal RNA (916 nucleotides) under uncultured bacterium. RNAcentral's name for it is "bacterial SSU rRNA". It matches the Rfam family "Bacterial small subunit ribosomal RNA", at positions 246 to 1155 of the family's 1533-position model. The record is from RNAcentral.
UUGUUGGUAAGGUAAAGGCUUACCAAGGCUUCGAUCAGUAGCUGGUCUGAGAGGACGGCCAGCCACACUGGGACUGAGACACGGCCCAGACUCCUACGGGAGGCAGCAGUGGGGAAUUUUGGACAAUGGGGGAAACCCUGAUCCAGCCAUGCCGCGUGAGUGAAGAAGGCCUUCGGGUUGUAAAGCUCUUUCAGCCGGAACGAAACGGUUACGGAUAAUACCCGUGACUACUGACGGUACCGGAAGAAGAAGCACCGGCUAACUACGUGCCAGCAGCCGCGGUAAUACGUAGGGUGCGAGCGUUAAUCGGAAUUACUGGGCGUAAAGCGUGCGCAGGUGGUUUUGUAAGUCAGAUGUGAAAGCCCCGGGCUCAACCUGGGAACUGCGUUUGAAACUACAAGACUAGAGUGUGGCAGAGGGGGGUGGAAUUCCGCGUGUAGCAGUGAAAUGCGUAGAGAUGUGGAGGGACACCGAUGGCGAAGGCAGCCCCCUGGGUUAACACUGACACUCAGGCACGAAAGCAUGGGGAGCAAACAGGAUUAGAUACCCUGGUAGUCCAUGCCCUAAACGAUGUCAACUAGUUGUCGGGCCUUUACGGGCUUGGUAACGUAGCUAACGCGUGAAGUUGACCGCCUGGGGAGUACGAUCGCAAGAUUAAAACUCAAAUGAAUUGACGGGGACCCGCACAAGCGGUGGAUUAUGUGGAUUAAUUCGAUGCAACGCGAAAAACCUUACCUACCCUUGACAUGUAUCGAAGCCCGCAGAAAAGCGGGGGUGCCCGAAAGGGAACGAUAACACAGGUGCUGCAUGGCUGUCGUCAGCUCGUGUCGUGAGAUGUUGGGUUAAGUCCCGCAACGAGCGCAACCCUUGUCAUUAAUUGCCAUCAUUUAGUUGGGCACUUUAAUGAGACUGCCGG